GAUGAACGCUGGCGGCGUGCCUAAUACAUGCAAGUCGAGCGAACAGACGAGGAGCUUGCUCCUCUGACGUUAGCGGCGGACGGGUGAGUAACACGUGGAUAACCUACCUAUAAGACUGGGAUAACUUCGGGAAACCGGAGCUAAUACCGGAUAACAUGUUGAACCGCAUGGUUUAACAGUGAAAGACGGUCUUGCUGUCACUUAUAGAUGGAUCCGCGCCGCAUUAGCUAGUUGGUAAGGUAACGGCUUACCAAGGCAACGAUGCGUAGCCGACCUGAGAGGGUGAUCGGCCACACUGGAACUGAGACACGGUCCAGACUCCUACGGGAGGCAGCAGUAGGGAAUCUUCCACAAUGGGCGAAAGCCUGACGGAGCAACGCCGCGUGAGUGAAGAAGGUCUUCGGAUCGUAAAACUCUGUUAUUAGGGAAGAACAAAUGUGUAAGUAACUAUGCACGUCUUGACGGUACCUAAUCAGAAAGCCACGGCUAACUACGUG
This 497-nucleotide ribosomal RNA is filed under the name uncultured bacterium. RNAcentral's name for it is "partial 16S ribosomal RNA". It matches the Rfam family "Bacterial small subunit ribosomal RNA", at positions 28 to 507 of the family's 1533-position model. The record is from RNAcentral.